Non-coding RNA from Vicia faba (fava bean), 201 nucleotides. Lineage: Eukaryota; Viridiplantae; Streptophyta; Magnoliopsida; Fabales; Fabaceae. The record is from the annotation of a GenBank genome assembly.
AUGCUUACCUACCGGAGUUCGUCCGACGCGUCCUCGUGGAUGGCGAAUAGAAACAAAAAACCAGAGGAAUUGUUGUUGUUUCUGCGGAUUCAAAGUUGUUGUUGCGGAUUUGAUGAAGAUGGAAGUGUCAUGUUGAUGUUGUUGCAGAUGCAGAGAGUUGUCGUUGAAGUUGCGGAUGCAAGGCGGUUGCAGAAACGAUGA